AGAAAUAACAAUGAGAGAUUGUAAUUGACUUCAAUAAAAGGGUCACCUCUUCAUCCCAACAGAACCCGAGACACACUCCUUCAGCNUGUGACAACACUACUCCAUUUCCCAUCAACGUUCAUAGACAAGCUAUCCAUAGGCGGCUGGACCAAACUUUUCAUCCGUUCAAAAUGAAAUUGUCGAGACAUCUAAGCAAAGAGUGUCAG
This 206-nucleotide long non-coding RNA is filed under the name Vigna radiata. RNAcentral describes it as "long non-coding RNA (VRAD_LNC014273)". Lineage: Eukaryota; Viridiplantae; Streptophyta; Magnoliopsida; Fabales; Fabaceae. The record is from RNAcentral.